UAUUAAAAAUUUCAUCUUUGUACCGUUGAAAACUGAUAUGGUUGAUGAAAUAAUAGGACAAUGACAUGUGGCUUGCCACGCAUACCUCAUACUACCAUAUAAGGACCAAUUUUUAAUAGUAGUUUUAAAUGAGAUUUUUAACA
This 143-nucleotide microRNA precursor is filed under the name Gossypium arboreum. RNAcentral describes it as "MIR7502 microRNA precursor family". It matches the Rfam family "MIR7502 microRNA precursor family". The record is from Rfam by way of RNAcentral. Lineage: Eukaryota; Viridiplantae; Streptophyta; Magnoliopsida; Malvales; Malvaceae.